Molecule: ribosomal RNA, 465 nt
Filed under: Vreelandella stevensii
Lineage: Bacteria; Pseudomonadati; Pseudomonadota; Gammaproteobacteria; Oceanospirillales; Halomonadaceae
Description: partial 16S ribosomal RNA
Rfam family: Bacterial small subunit ribosomal RNA
Source: RNAcentral
CCUACGGGGGGCUGCAGUGGGGAAUAUUGGACAAUGGGGGGAACCCUGAUCCAGCCAUGCCGCGUGUGUGAAGAAGGCCCUCGGGUUGUAAAGCACUUUCAGUGAGGAAGAACGCCUGGUGGUUAAUACCCAUCAGGAAAGACAUCACUCACAGAAGAAGCACCGGCUAACUCCGUGCCAGCAGCCGCGGUAAUACGGAGGGUGCGAGCGUUAAUCGGAAUUACUGGGCGUAAAGCGCGCGUAGGUGGCUUGAUAAGCCGGUUGUGAAAGCCCCGGGCUCAACCUGGGAACGGCAUCCGGAUCUGUCAAGCUAGAGUGCAGGAGAGGAAGGUAGAAUUCCCGGUGUAGCGGUGAAAUGCGUAGAGAUCGGGAGGAAUACCAGUGGCGAAGGCGGCCUUCUGGACUGACACUGACACUGAGGUGCGAAAGCGUGGGUAGCAAACAGGAUUAGAUACCCUUGUAGUC